Solea solea (common sole) is the source of this 388-nucleotide non-coding RNA. The record is from the annotation of a RefSeq genome assembly. Lineage: Eukaryota; Metazoa; Chordata; Actinopteri; Pleuronectiformes; Soleidae.
GAGACACUGACUCACCCGCAGCACAAUGAUGAUGAUGUGUGUGACUCUACUGCUGGUCACUCUGGAGCUCCUUGUUCAGGGUUCAUCAGGAGACAUCACCAUGACUCAGUCUCCUGGAUCUCUGUCUGCUGCUCGAGGACAGACUGUCUCUAUCAAAUGUAAAUCCAGUCAACUUAUAGGUGAUGAUGUUAACUGGUACCUGCAGAAACCUGCAGAACCUCCUAAACUCCUGAUUGCAGAUACAACAAGUCGUCAGUCUGGAGUUCCAGAUCGCUUCAGUGCAACUUAUCAUCAGACUGACUUCACUCUGACCAUCAGAGAUGUUCAGACUGAAGAUGGAGGAGUUUAUUACUGUCAGCAGCACAACAGCAUCCUGCUCACAAAGUGA